GUCAGGUGUUUUCUCAUCUUGGCAUUUUUUGCUCUUCAGCAGCCAUGGGGUUUAAGUGUGCGGGUGAGCAGGUGCAGCUCCACCACAGCAGCCCAUUGUCUGGUGAAGGUUUCUCUGGUUCAGGGCCUGGGCCCAAUGAGGUCCAUACCUAGGGAUAACUAACCAGUCACCACUUGUGGAAUUAAUUCAUCAUUUGAGGGAUUUAAGUGUGACAACCUUGAAAACUAAUUUCUGUACAUUUGGCAAAAUUAAGUCAAGCCUAGAAGGCAGACCCGGGAGCCAAGAUUCCAGCAGAACCUUGCAAAGAAGAAAGCUGAAAAAAAAAAACCACAUUUCAUUAUGCUGAAAUCAGAUCCCUGAAAAGUAAGACCUGGGUGGUGCUGAUCCCAAUGAGGGAACUCCAGUUCAUUUUGUUUUUUAAAUAUAAUGGCAACACCCACAAUAGAACCUGGAUGUAUUCAUGAAAGCCAUGGGUAAAAGGAGGAAUAAGAAAGGAUGACAUAUCUAUAAAACAAGAACACAUUUUAAGAAUCAGAUCCAAUUAUAUAGGUUGAACAGUUAAACUGUAAAAUUCUCCAAGGAUGCAGGAGGAGAAAGUAGAGAGAAAAGUAAGAGAAAAUUUUAAUAUUCACGGAGAAUGAAUCCAGAAGCUCCAAAAUCCUCUUAAUAGGAGUUCCAAGGAAGGAACAGAAAAAAUGGAAAAGGUGAAGUGG
This 713-nucleotide long non-coding RNA is filed under the name Homo sapiens (human). RNAcentral's name for it is "non-protein coding lnc-PLPPR1-1:1". The record is from RNAcentral. Lineage: Eukaryota; Metazoa; Chordata; Mammalia; Primates; Hominidae.